RNA transcript from Mauremys reevesii (Reeves's turtle), 1336 nucleotides. RefSeq lists it as uncharacterized. The transcript has 5 exons. Lineage: Eukaryota; Metazoa; Chordata; Testudines; Geoemydidae. The record is from RefSeq and is a predicted model, not a curated record.
CUGUAGCCUUGCUGCAGCAAGCGUCCAUCUCGUGGUCUCUCGGUGAGGUCCAAGAGACAGUUGGUGUGGAGGAGAUUCAGUGGGAUCAUUUUUCAUUUCUGUGUGGAUUUUUUUAAAGAAAUCGUCAUCUGUGUAGAAGCCACUUUCGAUCUCCUGGCUUCUAUCCCUUGCCCUGCUGGCAGGGCAUUAUGCGGCACCCUUUGCAGGCCACCUGGGUGCAGGAGAUCGAGGAGGAGGUAAAGGAAAGACCAACCCCGAGCAUCUGCCAUCCAGCUUCAUCCCAUCUAGAGCAAUUCCAGGAUAGAGUGGCUGAAGCGGAUGCUCAGGAGGAAGGCUGGGCAGGUGGCUCCAGAGCCAGCAGGAAGCGGCAGCCGGCCUUCCCAGGAGGAGAGCGGCCCCUCUGUCCCCGCGGGUGGGGAAGAGGCUUGUGGCCAGGGUAAAGAGAGGAGCUCCCUGGCAUUCUGGAGGAGGAGGAAGACACCAGCUCCCAUAGCUGACCCUGAGGCACCUUCUGGGCCCAAAUGGAGGUGGUCCCGGGUACAGCUAUGGAGGAGGGAACCAGGAGAGGGCAGGAGCCAGGCAAGGCAGCUCUGGGGCUUCCUUCACAGGAAGCCAAGGAGCCAGGAGCUGUGUCCCAGGGCCCAGCAGGAGCCAUCCACUACCCUGGCCACCGAGAAGCCUCCUGCCAGCCCCACCCAGGCCACCGAGGAGCCCCCCGCCAACCCGACCCUGGCAACUGCGGAGCCUCCUUCCAGCCCAGAGCAGGAGUUGAGCGACUGUUGGACAAACACCAGCAGCUCCGCCUACUCCCGAGGGGCCAGCAGCUCCUCUGUGGGGUCUGGCAGCCCAGAGUUGAAAGGCUCCCUCUUUGGAGAUGGAAAACUGAGGGAGAGAGCGAGUCCAAGUGAUUUCCUGAUGGUCACAGAAGUCUGUGGCAGAACAGAACUGAACCAAAGCUAGACUAGUACCCCAACCACUGGCCCAGCUUUCCUGGAAAGUCACAAGAAUCCCAGUAUGUCAGCAUGGAGAAAGAUGUUUGGAAAUGGGAAGCUGCCACCAGGCCCUGUCACUCUUCCCAUCCUAGGGAACCUGCUGCACCUGACUACUAAGAACUUGCCCCCAAAGUAUAGAGAAGAUAAGCCGUAAGAGUCCUUCUUAGUUAUUUUGUCGUAGGUGGGCAUAAAAUUGAGUCUGAUGCAAGUAGAACUGAGACAUUUCCAGUGUUCGCACAGUGGCAAUCCCGGAUAGUCCAGCUCAUCGUAUUUCAGGCUUUAAAAAAAACAAAACGGUUUUCACAAACAUCCUUCAUCUUGACUAAAUAAACUGUUAAUGCUAA